CAGCCGCCACGGUAAUACGUAGGGUGCAAGCGUUAAUCGGAAUUACUGGGCGUAAAGCGUGCGCAGGCGGUUAUAUAAGUCAGAUGUGAAAUCCCCGGGCUCAACCUGGGAACUGCAUUUGAGACUGUAUGGCUAGAGUGUGUCAGAGGGGGGUAGAAUUCCACGUGUAGCAGUGAAAUGCGUAGAUAUGUGGAGGAAUACCGAUGGCGAAGGCAAUCCCCUGGACCUGUACUGACGCUCAUGCACGAGAGCGUGGGGAGCAAACAGGAUUAGAUACCCGCGUAGUCCCUGUCUCUUAUAC
Molecule: ribosomal RNA, 301 nt
Filed under: uncultured bacterium
Lineage: Bacteria
Description: partial 16S ribosomal RNA
Rfam family: Bacterial small subunit ribosomal RNA
Source: RNAcentral